CCUACGGGGUGCUGCAGUGAGGAAUAUUUCACAAUGGACGAAAGUCUGAACGAGCGACGUAGCGUGGAGGAUGACUGCCCUAUGGGUUGUAAACUUCUUUUAUAUGGGAAUAAAAUGUUCAAAGUGUGGGAUUUUGUAUGUACCAUAUGAAUAAGGAUCGGCUAACUCCGUGCCAGCAGCCGCGGUAAUACGGAGUAUCCGAGCGUUAUCCGGAUUUAUUGGGGUUAAAGGGAGCGUAGGUGGAUUGUUAAGUCAGUUGUGAAAGGUUGCGGCUCAACCGUAAAAUUGCAUUUGAAACUGGCAGACUUGAGUACAGUAGAGGUGAGCGGAAUUCGUGGUGGAGCGGUGAAAUGCGUAGAUAUCACGAAGAACUCCGAUUGUGAAGGCAGCUCACUGGACUUCAACUGACACUGAGGCUCGAAAGUGUGGGUAUCAAACAGGAUUAGAUACCCCUGUAGUC
This 460-nucleotide ribosomal RNA is filed under the name uncultured bacterium. RNAcentral describes it as "partial 16S ribosomal RNA". It matches the Rfam family "Bacterial small subunit ribosomal RNA", at positions 338 to 795 of the family's 1533-position model. The record is from RNAcentral.